GGCAGGUAGCCUAGUGGUUAGAGUGUAGAGGAGGCAGGUAGCCUAGUGGUUAGAGUGUAGAGGAGGCAGGUAGCCUAGUGGUUAGAGUGUAGAGGAGGCAGGUAGCCUAGUGGUUAGAGUGUAGAGGCGGCAGGGCAGCCUAGUGGUUAGAGUGUAGAGGCAGGUAGCCUAGUGGUUAGAGUGUAGAGGCAGGUAGCCUAGUGGUUAGAGUGUAGAGGAUGCAGGUAGCCUAGUGGUUAGAGUGUAGAGGAGGCAGGUAGCCUAGUGGUUAGAGUGUAGAGGAGGCAGGUAGCCUAGUGGUUAGAGUGUAGAGGAGGCAGGUAGCCUAGUGGUUAGAGUGUAGAGGAGGCAGGUAGCCUAGUGGUUAGAGUGUAGAGGAGGCAGGUAGCCUAGUGGUUAGAGUGUAGAGGAGGCAGGUAGCCUAGUGGUUAGAGUGUAGAGGAGGCAGGUAGCCUAUUCAAAUCCCCGAGCUGACAAGGUACAAAUCUUGUCAGACAAAUCUGUCGUUCUGCCCCUGAACAGGCAGUUAACCCACUGUUCCUAGGCCGUCAUUGAAAAUAAGAAUUUGUUCUUAACUGACUUGCCAAGUUAAAUAAAGGUAAAAAAAAAUAAAACAAUUUAGAUUAGUUUCUGUCUGAUUGUAAGACGACUGAGUACUCCACAAUUUCAUACUCUUUUUUUUUUCCAACAG
Long non-coding RNA from Oncorhynchus tshawytscha (Chinook salmon), 691 nucleotides. The record is from Ensembl. Lineage: Eukaryota; Metazoa; Chordata; Actinopteri; Salmoniformes; Salmonidae.